AUGCUUACACAUGCAAGUUGAACGAGACUUUAAAGUUUCGUAGCGAACGGGUGAGUAAAUGCAAAAUACUACCUUCUAGUUUAGCACAAAAUUUUUUUAUAAAAAUAAAAUACUAAAUAAUCAAAAGGUUUUACUUUAAGUAAUUCCGCUAAAAGAUGUUUUUGCUUAAGAUUAGGUCGUUGGUAAUUUAAAAGCUUACCAAGCCUAUGAUCUUUAGUUGGUCUUAGAGGAUGAUCAACCACACUGGAACUGAAAUAAGGUCCAGGCUGAUACGUCGGCCAGCAGUGAGGAAUAUUGGACAAUGAACGAAAGUUUGAUCCAGCAAUACUAUUUAAGUGAUGACUGCUUAUUUAAGUUGUAACAUCCUUUCAUUAAGAACGAUAAUGACGUUAUUUAAAGAGGUAUAGUCCCGGCUAAUACUCGUGCCAGCAGCCGCGGUAAUACGGGAGGGGCAAGCGUUAUCCAGCAUUACUGGGCGUAAAGAGUUCGUAGACGGUAAAGUAAGUUUUUUGUUAAAUUUUAAAACUUAAUUUUAAACCAAGCAAAAAAUACUGCUUUACUUCGAGUUUAAUACAGAAAAGUGGAAUUUUAUAUGAAAAGGUGAAAUUUGCAGAUAUAUAAAGGAAUGCCAGUAGCGAAGGCGACUUCUUAGUAUAAACUGACGUUAAGGAACGAAAGUGUAGGUAGCAAACAGGAUUAGAUACCCUGGUAGUCUACACUGUAAAUUCUGAGUGCUGUAAUUUAAUUGUAAUGUAAUAUUUAUUUAGAUUUUUAAGCUAACGCAAUAAGCACUCCGCCUGAAGAGUACGAUCGCAAGGUGGGAACUCAAGGAAUUGACGGGGGUCUACACUAGUG
This 855-nucleotide ribosomal RNA is filed under the name uncultured bacterium. RNAcentral describes it as "bacterial SSU rRNA". It matches the Rfam family "Bacterial small subunit ribosomal RNA", at positions 44 to 931 of the family's 1533-position model. The record is from RNAcentral.